AUAAUGGUCUUAAUAAAGACCAUAAUAAUUAUGUUGAAUGUUUUCU
Molecule: non-coding RNA, 46 nt
Organism: Cavia porcellus (domestic guinea pig)
Lineage: Eukaryota; Metazoa; Chordata; Mammalia; Rodentia; Caviidae
Source: Rfam